Molecule: ribosomal RNA, 479 nt
Filed under: uncultured bacterium
Lineage: Bacteria
Description: bacterial SSU rRNA
Rfam family: Bacterial small subunit ribosomal RNA
Source: RNAcentral
GGACGAACGCUGGCGGCGUGCCUAACACAUGCAAGUCGAGCGGGGAUUAUCGAAUGAAGUUUUCGGAUGGAUUUUGGUAAUUCUAGCGGCGGACGGGUGAGUAACGCGUGAGUAACCUGCCUAUCACUGGGGAAUAACGCACCGAAAGGUGUGCUAAUACCGCAUGAGACCACAGAGGGACAUCCCACAGGGGUCAAAGAUUCAUCGGUGAUAGAUGGGCUCGCGUCUGAUUAGCUAGUUGGUGGGGUAACGGCCCACCAAGGCGACGAUCAGUAGCCGGACUGAGAGGUUGACCGGCCACAUUGGGACUGAGAUACGGCCCAGACUCCUACGGGAGGCAGCAGUGGGGAAUAUUGGGCAAUGGACGCAAGUCUGACCCAGCAACGCCGCGUGAAGGAAGAAGGCCCUCGGGUUGUAAACUUUUUGAUCGGGGACGAAUAAUGACGGUACCCGAAAAACAAGUCACGGCUAACUACGUG